Molecule: unclassified non-coding RNA, 679 nt
Filed under: Hevea brasiliensis (rubber tree)
Lineage: Eukaryota; Viridiplantae; Streptophyta; Magnoliopsida; Malpighiales; Euphorbiaceae
Source: RNAcentral
GAAAAAAAAAAGAAAAAGAAAGAAUGACCAAAACAGAAAGAAAAGAGCUCAUACAAAAACUUACAAGGCAUACCUAAGCUAAAUCUUCUAGUUAAACACAUCAAGCUCGAGAGAAGAUUCAUGGAAAAGAUUUGAUUGAAACAUGCUCAUAAAACUCCCUUCCAUAGGCUGCAAAAAUCCAUCAAAAGGCUGGAAAAUAGAAUCAGAACCUGCAGGAGACGAUGAUGACUCAUUGUAAGAGUUCAUCAAAGGUACUAAAGAUCCGGCAGACCCAUCAACAGUUCUUCGUUCAAGAAUUUCUGGAGAGUUUUCGACACCAUUAAAGUCCAUAAAUCGCUCUGCAUCAGAGUCUUUUCCAGUGAGUUCUUGCACAAGAGCCCUGAAUUUUGAGGCACUAGUCUCAACUUUCAUAGGGCUGGAUAUGUACACAACUUUGAUACCCUUUUUGGCGCUCCUUCUCCUGGAUUGUUUCUUGCUCUUAACGUUAACACCAAGAACAUCCAUGAUCUUUUGCUUAUUUUGUCCGUACUAAUGAGUAAUGAACCUUUUGUUGAAUAACAUGUACUAGAUCAUUAUUGGUUAGGGUUUAUAUAAUGGGUACGGAAGUAGAAAAAAAUAAGAUUUCUGUGGUGUGUGAAAGGUGACGAUUUCCCAGAAGGCGACUAAGAUUAGAAGAAAU